This 75-nucleotide transfer RNA is filed under the name Candidatus Falkowiibacteriota bacterium. Its description in RNAcentral is "tRNA-Arg". It matches the Rfam family "tRNA". Rfam says of the family: Transfer RNA (tRNA) molecules are approximately 80 nucleotides in length. Lineage: Bacteria; Candidatus Falkowiibacteriota. The record is from RNAcentral.
GUCUUCGUAGUUCAAUGGAUAGAACGAGAACCUCCUAAGUUCUAGAUUCAGGUUCGAUUCCUGACGAAGACACAA